AGAGCGAACGCUGGCGGCAGGCUUAACACAUGCAAGUCGAGCGGGCGUAGCAAUACGUCAGCGGCAGACGGGUGAGUAACGCGUGGGAACGUACCUUUUGGUUUGGAACAACUGAGGGAAACUUCAGCUAAUACCGAAUAAGCCCUUACGGGGAAAGAUUUAUCGCCGAAAGAUCGGCCCGCGUCUGAUUAGCUUGUUGGUGAGGUAAUGGCUCACCAAGGCGACGAUCAGUAGCUGGUCUGAGAGGAUGAUCAGCCACAUUGGGACUGAGACACGGCCCAAACUCCUACGGGAGGCAGCAGUGGGGAAUAUUGGACAAUGGGCGCAAGCCUGAUCCAGCCAUGCCGCGUGAGUGAUGAAGGCCCUAGGGUUGUAAAGCUCUUUUGUGCGGGAAGAUAAUGACGGUACCGCAAGAAUAAGCCCCGGCUAACUUCGCGCCAGCAGCCGC
This 448-nucleotide ribosomal RNA is filed under the name uncultured bacterium. Its description in RNAcentral is "SSU rRNA". It matches the Rfam family "Bacterial small subunit ribosomal RNA", at positions 26 to 518 of the family's 1533-position model. The record is from RNAcentral.